Molecule: ribosomal RNA, 301 nt
Filed under: uncultured bacterium
Lineage: Bacteria
Description: partial 16S ribosomal RNA
Rfam family: Bacterial small subunit ribosomal RNA
Source: RNAcentral
CAGCCGCCACGGGAAUACGUAGGUGGCAAGCGUUGUCCGGAAUUAUUGGGCGUAAAGGGCUCGCAGGCGGUUUCUUAAGUCUGAUGUGAAAGCCCCCGGCUCAACCGGGGAGGGUCAUUGGAAACUGGGAAACUUGAGUGCAGAAGAGGAGAGUGGAAUUCCACGUGUAGCGGUGAAAUGCGUAGAGAUGUGGAGGAACACCAGUGGCGAAGGCGACUCUCUGGUCUGUAACUGACGCUGAGGAGCGAAAGCGUGGGGAGCGAACAGGAUUAGAUACCCCGGUAGUCCCUGUCUCUUAUAC